GACGAACGCUGGCGGCGUGCCUAAUACAUGCAAGUCGAACGCACUCUCGUUUAGAUUGAAGGAGUUUGCUCCUGAUUGAUAAACAUUUGAGUGAGUGGCGGACGGGUGAGUAACACGUGGGUAACCUGCCCUAAAGUGGGGGAUAACAUUUGGAAACAGAUGCUAAUACCGCAUAAAACCUAACACCGCAUGGUGUAGGGUUGAAAGAUGGUUUCGGCUAUCACUUUAGGAUGGACCCGCGGUGCAUUAGUUAGUUGGUGAGGUAAAGGUUCACCAAGACCGUGCUGCAUAGCCGACCUGAGAGGGUAAUCGGCCACACUGGGACUGAGACACGGCCCAGACUCCUACGGGAGGCAGCAGUAGGGAAUCUUCCACAAUGGACGAAAGUCUGAUGGAGCAACGCCGCGUGAGUGAAGAAGGUUUUCGGAUCGUAAAACUCUGUUGUUGGAGAAGAAUGUAUCUGAUAGUAACUGAUCAGGUAGUGACGGUAUCCAACCAGAAAGCCACGGCUAACUACGUG
RNAcentral lists this ribosomal RNA (520 nucleotides) under uncultured bacterium. RNAcentral's name for it is "partial 16S ribosomal RNA". It matches the Rfam family "Bacterial small subunit ribosomal RNA", at positions 28 to 507 of the family's 1533-position model. The record is from RNAcentral.